Non-coding RNA from Xyrichtys novacula (pearly razorfish), 313 nucleotides. Lineage: Eukaryota; Metazoa; Chordata; Actinopteri; Labriformes; Labridae. The record is from the annotation of a GenBank genome assembly.
GAGGAGGGUGAGGAGGGUGAGGUGUGUGUGUGUGUGCGAGGAAGGGUUUCUGAUGGUUAAUUUGUUCCUGGUGUAUCUGAGGUGGCGGCGGGAGGGCGGGUUGCUGCUCUGUUGUCUUUGACAGAGGUUGGUCUGAUGAUUGGGGCUGCAGACGAAGAGGAGGAGGAGGAGGAGGAGGAGGAGGAGGAGGAGGAGAUGAAAUGUUCAGGGUAAUCAGGAGUCGUUAGGACUUUUACAGGCCCGGCGGAGGAUCAUGCUGAUGUUCAACGGAAACAUGAGUGAAAUGUUUGAUCAGGGAUCUCACGUCGCCUCU